Molecule: ribosomal RNA, 468 nt
Filed under: uncultured bacterium
Lineage: Bacteria
Description: partial 16S ribosomal RNA
Rfam family: Bacterial small subunit ribosomal RNA
Source: RNAcentral
GACGAACGCUGGCGGCGUGCUUAACACAUGCAAGUCGAACGGAAAGGCCCUGCUUUUGUGUGUUGCUCGAGUGGCGAACGGGUGAGUAACACGUGAGUAACCUGCCCUUGACUUUCGGAUAACUUCAGGAAACUGCGGCUCAUACCGCAUAGAAGCUCCUGCUGCAUGGUGGUGGUUGGAAAAUUUCGGCGGUUGGGGAUGGACUCGAGGCUUAUCCGCUUGUUGGUGGAGUAGUGGCGUACGAAGGCAUUGACGGCUAGCCGGCCUGAGAGGGGUACCGGCCACAUUGGGACUGAGAUACGGCGCAGACGCCUACGGGAGGCAGCAGGGGGGAAUAUUACACAAUGGGCGGAAGUCUGAUGCAGCAACGCCGCGUGCGGGAUGACGGCCUUCGGGUUGUAAACCGCUUUCGCCUGUGACGAAGCGUGAGUGACGGUAAUGGGUAAAGAAGCACCGGCUAACUACGUG